This 248-nucleotide ribosomal RNA is filed under the name uncultured bacterium. RNAcentral describes it as "partial 16S ribosomal RNA". It matches the Rfam family "Bacterial small subunit ribosomal RNA", at positions 109 to 354 of the family's 1533-position model. The record is from RNAcentral.
AGUAACGACGUGGGCGAACCUAGCCUUAUACAGGGGAGUAACAGCUGGAAACAGCUGCUAAUACCGCAUAAGCGCACAGCGGCGCAUGACGCAGUGUGAAAAACUGAGGUGGUAUAAGAUGGGCCCGCGUCUGAUUAGCUGGUUGGGAGGGUAACGGCCUACCAAGGCGACGAUCAGUAGCCGGCCUGAGAGGGCGGACGGCCACAUUGGGACUGAGACACGGCCCAGACUCCUACGGAAGGCAGCAG